GCAAGUCGAGCGGAAACGAUGGGAGCUUGCUCUGCGCUGACGAGUGGCGGACGGGUGCGUAACGCGUGGGAAUCUACCUUAUAGUGGGGGAUAGCCCGGAGAAAUCCGGAUUAAUACCGCAUAAGCCCUACGGGGGAAAAGGGGCCUCUCCUUGGAAGCUCUUGCUAUUAGAUGAGCCCGCGUAAGAUUAGCUUGUUGGUGGGGUAAUGGCUCACCAAGGCAACGAUCUUUAGCUGGUUUGAGAGGAUGAUC
Molecule: ribosomal RNA, 252 nt
Filed under: uncultured bacterium
Lineage: Bacteria
Description: partial 16S ribosomal RNA
Rfam family: Bacterial small subunit ribosomal RNA
Source: RNAcentral